Molecule: small RNA, 468 nt
Filed under: Drosophila yakuba
Lineage: Eukaryota; Metazoa; Arthropoda; Insecta; Diptera; Drosophilidae
Description: GE28967
Source: RNAcentral
AUUUGAAAUGUUUUAAGCCAUUAUUUAAAGACGUUUACUAUAAUUCGUUAACAGUGAGCAUCUUUAAUUUUCUAGUUCGCGGCUUCCCUUUUCCCCCGUUUUCGAACUAAAGCUGAAAGCGCCCUCUCUUGGAUGUUCAUGCAAGCAAUCAUUCUCGAUAGCGUUCAGUUGCGAAGUGCUCAGAUUUGUUAAAAGUUAACUUAAGUGGUGUUUUUUUAAUCAAUUGCGAUUCGCCAAUUGCAAGUGCAAGUGCAUAGACAAAACGGGCAAAGACAAGGUUAGCCGCUGAAAAAGCCGUCUUGGCUUUAAAUCAAAACAAGUGCAGCGAAAAAGGCAAACAAGAAAACCAACAACACUGCACAGAACAAAUUUGCAGAUACCGGCCAGCCGUCAAGUGCAAUAUGCUGGUAAGACGGGAGAAUCCAAAGGAGGAAGAAGAACUCAAAUCCAGACGGAUUUUAUGGCCAA